Molecule: ribosomal RNA, 455 nt
Filed under: uncultured Spirulina sp.
Lineage: Bacteria; Bacillati; Cyanobacteriota; Cyanophyceae; Spirulinales; Spirulinaceae
Description: bacterial SSU rRNA
Rfam family: Bacterial small subunit ribosomal RNA
Source: RNAcentral
AGGCUUUGAUCCUGGCUCAGGAUGAACGCUGGCGGCGUGCUUAACACAUGCAAGUCGAACGAAGUCUUCGGACUUAGUGGCGGACGGGUGAGUAACGCGUGAGGAUCUGCCCUUAGGUUGGGGACAACCACUGGAAACGGUGGCUAAUACCCAAUGUGCCGAGAGGUGAAAGGUUAACUGCCUGAGGAUGAACUCGCGUCUGAUUAGCUAGUUGGUGGGGUAAGGGCUCACCAAGGCGACGAUCAGUAGCUGGUCUGAGAGGAUGAUCAGCCACACUGGGACUGAGACACGGCCCAGACUCCUACGGGAGGCAGCAGUGGGGAAUUUUCCGCAAUGGGCGAAAGCCUGACGGAGCAACGCCGCGUGAGGGAGGAAGGCCCUAGGGUUGUAAACCUCUUUUCUCUGGGAAGAAGAUCUGACGGUACCUGAGUGAAUAGCCUCGGCUACAUCCGUGC